AAUAGAAUUUGCGUGUCUUAGUAUAUUUUGCUUCUGUAAUGAUCUAUAAAGUUGGGACUCAUCCUCUCAAUUCUACUUAAUGUGCUAUUCAUGACUUUUCAGAUUCUUAGGUCGGUGCCAGUUCGUUCAAUGCUCAUACCUCACUACUGGCAAGGGAUAAGAGUUGGGUGAAGAGCUUGGAAAGACUCAGCCACUCAGCUGAGUGCAGAGUUGGGUGAAAGGCUCAAGUAUCCUUCCAGUAUGAGUCAUGUGGUUUUAAAGUCUUAGAAAAUGCAGCAGCAA
Zea mays is the source of this 282-nucleotide long non-coding RNA. RefSeq lists it as uncharacterized. The transcript has 3 exons. Lineage: Eukaryota; Viridiplantae; Streptophyta; Magnoliopsida; Poales; Poaceae. The record is from RefSeq and is a predicted model, not a curated record.